This 464-nucleotide ribosomal RNA is filed under the name uncultured bacterium. Its description in RNAcentral is "partial 16S ribosomal RNA". It matches the Rfam family "Bacterial small subunit ribosomal RNA", at positions 338 to 795 of the family's 1533-position model. The record is from RNAcentral.
CCUACGGGAGACAGCAGUGGGGAAUCUUCCGCAAUGGGCGAAAGCCUGACGGAGCAACGCCGCGUGAUCGAAUGAAGGCCUUCGGGUUGUAAAGAUCUGUUGACAGGGACGAAUAAGCAAUGCGAAUAGUUUUGUGUAUGACGGUACCUGUUUAGAAAGCUCCUGCUAACUACGUGCCAGCAGCCGCGGUAAGACGUAAGGAGGAAGCGUUGUCCGGAAUUACUGGGGUUAAAGGGCGCGUAGGUGGGCGCGUAAGUCAGGUGGGAAAACGGCGGGCUCAACCUGGAGACUGAACUUGAAACUGGGUGUCUUGAGGGGGGGAGAGGAAAGUGGAAUGCGUAGUGUAGCGGUGAAAUGCGUAGAUAUUAGGAGGAACACCAGUGGCGAAGGCGACUUUCUGGACUGUACCUGACGCUGAGGCGCGAAAGCGUGGGUAGCGAACGGGAUUAGAUACCCUUGUAGUC